GCCUGGGUGGCUCAGUCGGUUGAGCAUCUGACUUCGGCUCAGGUUAUGAUCUCACAGUUUGAGUUCGAGCCCCACAUCGGGCU
RNAcentral lists this transfer RNA (83 nucleotides) under Felis catus (domestic cat). It matches the Rfam family "tRNA". Rfam says of the family: Transfer RNA (tRNA) molecules are approximately 80 nucleotides in length. The record is from Rfam by way of RNAcentral. Lineage: Eukaryota; Metazoa; Chordata; Mammalia; Carnivora; Felidae.